UACGAAGGGGGCUAGCGUUGUUCGGAUUUACUGGGCGUAAAGCGCACGUAGGCGGAUAUUUAAGUCAGGGGUGAAAUCCCGGGGCUCAACCCCGGAACUGCCUCUGAUACUGGAUAUCUCGAGUCCGGAAGAGGUGAGUGGAAUUCCGAGUGUAGAGGUGAAAUUCGUAGAUAUUCGGAGGAACACCAGUGGCGAAGGCGGCUCACUGGUCCGGUACUGACGCUGAGACGCGAAAGCGUGGGGAGCAAACAGG
This 253-nucleotide ribosomal RNA is filed under the name uncultured bacterium. Its description in RNAcentral is "partial 16S ribosomal RNA". It matches the Rfam family "Bacterial small subunit ribosomal RNA", at positions 524 to 776 of the family's 1533-position model. The record is from RNAcentral.